This 253-nucleotide ribosomal RNA is filed under the name uncultured bacterium. RNAcentral's name for it is "partial 16S ribosomal RNA". It matches the Rfam family "Bacterial small subunit ribosomal RNA", at positions 524 to 776 of the family's 1533-position model. The record is from RNAcentral.
UACGUAGGGCGCAAGCGUUGUCCGGAAUUAUUGGGCGUAAAGAGCUCGUAGGCGGUCUGUUACGUCCGCUGUGAAAACCCAGGGCUUAACCCUGGGCUUGCAGUGGAUACGGGUAGACUAGAGGCAGGUAGGGGAGAAUGGAAUUCCCGGUGUAGCGGUGAAAUGCGCAGAUAUCGGGAGGAACACCGGUGGUGAAGGCGGUUCUCUGGGCCUGACCUGACGCUGAGGAGCGAAAGCGUGGGGAGUGAACAGG